RNAcentral lists this ribosomal RNA (465 nucleotides) under uncultured bacterium. Its description in RNAcentral is "partial 16S ribosomal RNA". It matches the Rfam family "Bacterial small subunit ribosomal RNA", at positions 28 to 507 of the family's 1533-position model. The record is from RNAcentral.
GAUGAACGCUGGCGGCGUGCUUAACACAUGCAAGUCGGACGGAAAGGCUCCUUCUUGCUGGGGUACUCGAUUGGCGAACGGGUGAGUAACACGUGGGUUAUCUGCCCUUCACUUCGUGAUAAGCCUUGGAAACUGGGUCUAAUACCGGAUAGGACCACAUUUUGGAUGGUGUGGUUGAAAGUUUUUCGGUGUGGGAUGAGCUCGCGGCCUAUCAGCUUGUUGGUGGGGUAAUGUCCUACGAAGCCGUCGACGGGUAGCCGGCCUGAGAGGGUGUACGGGCACAAUGGGACUGAGAUACGGAACAGACGGCAACGGGAGGCAGCAGUGGGGAAUAGUGCAGAAUGGGAGGAAGCAUGAUGAAGAGACGCGGCGUGGGGGAUGAAGGCCGUCGGGUUGUAAAAAAAUUUAGAUAGGGACGAAGAGAAAGUGACGGUAACUGGAGAAGAAGCACCGGCUAACUACGUG